AGUGUACCCGCGGCAAGACGGAAAGACCCCGUGAACCUUUACUAUAGCUUGACACUGAACAUUGAGCCUUGAUGUGUAGGAUAGGUGGGAGGCUUAGAAGUGUGGACGCCAGUCUGCAUGGAGCCGACCUUGAAAUACCACCCUUUAAUGUUUGAUGUUCUAACGUUGACCCGUAAUCCGGGUUGCGGACAGUGUCUGGUGGGUAGUUUGACUGGGGCGGUCUCCUCCUAAAGAGUAACGGAGGAGCACGAAGGUUGGCUAAUCCUGGUCGGACAUCAGGAGGUUAGUGCAAUGGCAUAAGCCAGCUUGACUGCGAGCGUGACGGCGCGAGCAGGUGCGAAAGCAGGUCAUAGUGAUCCGGUGGUUCUGAAUGGAAGGGCCAUCGCUCAACGGAUAAAAGGUACUCCGGGGAUAACAGGCUGAUACCGCCCAAGAGUUCAUAUCGACGGCGGUGUUUGGCACCUCGAUGUCGGCUCAUCACAUCCUGGGGCUGAAGUAGGUCCCAAGGGUAUGGCUGUUCGCCAUUUAAAGUGGUACGCGAGCUGGGUUUAGAACGUCGUGAGACAGUUCGGUCCCUAUCUGCCGUGGGCGCUGGAGAACUGAGGGGGGCUGCUCCUAGUACGAGAGGACCGGAGUGGACGCAUCACUGGUGUUCGGGUUGUCAUGCCAAUGGCACUGCCCGGUAGCUAAAUGCGGAAGAGAUAAGUGCUGAAAGCAUCUAAGCACGAAACUUGCC
Molecule: ribosomal RNA, 736 nt
Filed under: Escherichia coli
Lineage: Bacteria; Pseudomonadati; Pseudomonadota; Gammaproteobacteria; Enterobacterales; Enterobacteriaceae
Description: partial 23S ribosomal RNA
Rfam family: Bacterial large subunit ribosomal RNA
Source: RNAcentral